RNAcentral lists this ribosomal RNA (566 nucleotides) under bacterium enrichment culture clone MA7. RNAcentral describes it as "bacterial SSU rRNA". It matches the Rfam family "Bacterial small subunit ribosomal RNA", at positions 324 to 881 of the family's 1533-position model. The record is from RNAcentral.
AAUUCGCCCUUACUCCUACGGGAGGCAGCAGUGGGGAAUUUUGCGCAAUGGGGGAAACCCUGACGCAGCAACGCCGCGUGAGUGAUGAAGGCUUUCGGGUCGUAAAGCUCUGUCAGUAGGGAAGAAAUGAAAACGGUUAAUACCCGUUUUUCUUGACGGUACCUACAAAGGAAGCACCGGCUAACUCCGUGCCAGCAGCCGCGGUAAUACGGAGGGUGCAAGCGUUGUUCGGAUUUAUUGGGCGUAAAGCGCGUGUAGGCGGUUUCUUAAGUCUGAUGUGAAAGCCCUGGGCUCAACCCAGGAAGUGCAUUGGAUACUGGGAGACUUGAAUACGGGAGAGGGUAGUGGAAUUCCUAGUGUAGGAGUGAAAUCCGUAGAUAUUAGGAGGAACACCGGUGGCGAAGGCGGCUACCUGGACCGAUAUUGACGCUGAGACGCGAAAGCGUGGGGAGCAAACAGGAUUAGAUACCCUGGUAGUCCACGCCGUAAACGAUGAGAACUAGGUGUUGCGGGUAUUGACCCCUGCAGUGCCGCAGCUAACGCAUUAAGUUCUCCGCCUGGGAAGU